GAUGAACGCUGGCGGCGUGCCUAAUACAUGCAAGUCGAGCGAACAGACGAUGAGCUUGCGGCUUGGACGUUAGCCGCGGAGGGGUGAGUAACACGUGGAUAACCUACCUAUAAGACUGGUAUAACUUCGGGAAAGCGGAGCUAAUACCGGAGAAGAUAUUGAAGCGCAUGGUGGAAUAGUGAAAGACGGUUGUGGGGGCACGUAUAGAUGGAUCUGAGCCGGAUGGGCGGGUUGGUAAGGUAACGGCUUACCAAGGGAACGAGGCGUAGGCGACGUCAGAGGGUGAUAGGCCACCCGGGAACUGAGACAGGGUCAAGGCUCCUAAGGGAGGCAGCAGUAGGCAAUCUUCCGCAGUGGGCGAAAGCAUGACGGAGCAGCGCCGCGUGAGUGGUGACAGCCUCGGGUGCGUAAAGAUCUGUUAUUGGGGAAAAACAAAUUUCUAAGUAGAUAUGCACGUCUUGACGGUACCUGAUAAGAAAGCCACGGCUAACUACGUG
Molecule: ribosomal RNA, 497 nt
Filed under: uncultured bacterium
Lineage: Bacteria
Description: partial 16S ribosomal RNA
Rfam family: Bacterial small subunit ribosomal RNA
Source: RNAcentral